GGAUGAAGCGUUCCGCCGGGAACCGGAUGCGUCGACGGCUCCCGCAGCACCGCAUUUUCAAACUCCGAUAAAGUCCCUCUGACGGCCUCCGCCAGCCGCGACAAUAUCUCCGCUGCCUGAAUUCGGAUAUACUCCGCAGAUUUUGAUUCGAAUAUUAUAUCAAUGUCAGGUAUCAACUCCGUGAAGGCAUCGUGGAGGUCU
This 201-nucleotide unclassified non-coding RNA is filed under the name Hevea brasiliensis (rubber tree). Lineage: Eukaryota; Viridiplantae; Streptophyta; Magnoliopsida; Malpighiales; Euphorbiaceae. The record is from RNAcentral.